GGCAACCCGCUCGGGUCCCCUUCCACACUGUGGAAGCUUUGUUCUUUUGCUCUUUGCAAUAAAUCUUGCUGCUGCUCACUCUUUGGGUCCACACUGCUUUUAUGAGCUGUAACACUCACCACAAAAGUCUGCAGCUUCAGUCCUGAAGCCAGCGAGACCACGAGCCCACCAGGAAGAACAAACAAACUCCAGACACGCCACCUUAAGAGCUGUGACACUCACCACGAGGGUCCGCGGCUUCAUUCUUGAAGUCAGUUGAGACCGAGAACCCACCAAUUCCGGACACACUGGGAUUACAGGGCCUUGGAAGAAAUUUUGUACCUGUUUGCCUCUGCUGGAUGACGCACUCUGAACACAGCUACCUAAAAGUGGAAGGAAGGAGGCCGGGCAGGGUGGCUCACGCCCAUAAUCCCAGCACCUUGGGAGACUGAGUCAGGUGGAUCACUUGAGCUCAGGAGUUUGAGACCAGCCUAGGCAACAUGGCGAAAUCCUGUCUCUACAAAAAAAAUUUAAAACUUAGGCAUGGUGGCACGUGCCUGUAGUCCCAGCUACUCAGGAGUCUGAGGUGGGAGGAUUGCUUGAGCCUAGGAGGUGGAGGCUGCAGUGAGCCGAAAUCACAUCACUGCCCUCCAGCCUGAGCAACAGAGCAAGACCCAAUCUCAAAAAAAAAAAAAAAAAAAAAAAGGCUAAAAGGAAGGACUGUUUUGAGCUGAGGCAACCCCAAGGACUGGUGACAUUCCCUGGGUCUCCCCUGCCAGCCUCGUGUCAUACCCCAAGAGAGGCUGGGACACAUCUGUGAAACAGGAUGCUGAACAGCGGAACACAGCGGACUUGAGCCAGCCUAAGUGGGUUUCUGCUCCUUGCAACAAGAGGCCUGAAUAGAAGCCCCUUCUUCAGGGGAGUGGGCAUCAGCUCAGAAAGAGGAUCCCAUGGGAACUGACUUUGCUGGUGACCAAGGCCCUACCACCAGGGCACCCUGCCCAUGUAUCCCAAGCAGAGGGAGCAGAACCAGCGGUGUAACUACUGUGCUUGACACCCAGGGCAGGUCUUUUUUUAACUCACCGAUCUUCCAUGCAACAAAAUUGUUUUCUGUGAAAAGCAGGAAAUGAAUAACAACAGCGUAGGUACUCCACUUCAAAUUUCCCAAGAAAUUCAGAAGAAUUGUGAACAAGUUGCUGGUUUCACAAUACUGCAAGACACUGCAAGUUAUUCCAAGUUCCUACAGGACAACGAUGCACAAUUAUUUACUUACUUAUGUUUAAAUAUACCUAUCAGUUUGACUUUCAUCCUUUGGUGACAUUCUAAUAAUUUAUGUAAAUAAUUAUUCAGAGACCAAUGAGAGGAUUUUAAUAAGUGCAAAAUGUUAGCAGACGGUACAACAUUGAUAAAUCUAUGGUCUGUAUUUUGUUCUGCCAUUUCAAAAUAAUUAAAAAGUAAGUUUCAAUUUAAAAACAUUAUUGAAAUUCAGUAAAAUAUUUCAAGCAUGAACUAAAAUAUACACUUACUAAACACAAAUAUUACACCUCACAUUUCAUACUCUGUUUCAUUGUUUUAAAUUUUAAACAGAAAUAACUCCACCGGCCACCUAGAAUGAUCAAAUCAGGCAACUCAAGUUACUUUGUUUCAUCUUCACAAUCACUGUGCUAUCAUUGUUCAUUUUGAAUCUACUUUUUAAAAGCAAGAAUAUUU
Molecule: long non-coding RNA, 1689 nt
Filed under: Homo sapiens (human)
Lineage: Eukaryota; Metazoa; Chordata; Mammalia; Primates; Hominidae
Description: HSALNT0382055
Source: RNAcentral